RNAcentral lists this ribosomal RNA (301 nucleotides) under uncultured bacterium. RNAcentral's name for it is "partial 16S ribosomal RNA". It matches the Rfam family "Bacterial small subunit ribosomal RNA", at positions 509 to 807 of the family's 1533-position model. The record is from RNAcentral.
CAGUCGCCGCGGGAAAACGUAGGGUGCAAGCGUUAAUCGGAAUUACUGGGCGUAAAGCGUGCGUAGGUGGUGGUUUAAGUCCGUUGUGAAAGCCCUGGGCUCAACCUGGGAAUUGCAGUGGAUACUGGGUCACUAGAGUGUGGUAGAGGAUAGUGGAAUUUCCGGUGUAGCAGUGAAAUGCGUAGAGAUCGGAAGGAACAUCUGUGGCGAAGGCGACUAUCUGGGCCAACACUAACACUGAGGCACGAAAGCGUGGGGAGCAAACAGGAUUAGAUACCCCUGUAGUCCCUGUCUCUUAUAC